This is a long non-coding RNA of Cebus imitator (Panamanian white-faced capuchin), 239 nucleotides long. RefSeq lists it as uncharacterized. The transcript has 2 exons. Lineage: Eukaryota; Metazoa; Chordata; Mammalia; Primates; Cebidae. The record is from RefSeq and is a predicted model, not a curated record.
CUCUGCCUUAUUAUGCCCCUUGGUCAAAUUCUUUCUUCUGAGGAGGCAAGAACUGAGGUUGCUGCAGUCCCAUACAAAUUCGCCACUGCUUCUAGGAUGUCCCCAUGUCUUCUCUGUGGAUCUCCCAGCACCCACAGGUCACACAGCAACAAAGGCUGUGGCAGUCACCUGGGUCUCCCACAGCAGACAAGACCAGGCACUGGACACCGAAUGUUUUCACAAUUAAAAACACAUGUUCA